UAGGGAAUCUUCGGCAAUGGACGAAAGUCUGACCGAGCAACGCCGCGUGAGUGAAGAAGGUUUUCGGAUCGUAAAACUCUGUUGUUAGAGAAGAACAAGGACGUUAGUAACUGAACGUCCCCUGACGGUAUCUAACCAGAAAGCCACGGCUAACUACGUGCCAGCAGCCGCGGUAAUACGUAGGUGGCAAGCGUUGUCCGGAUUUAUUGGGCGUAAAGCGAGCGCAGGCGGUUUCUUAAGUCUGAUGUGAAAGCCCCCGGCUCAACCGGGGAGGGUCAUUGGAAACUGGGAGACUUAGGUGCAGAAGAGGAGAGUGGAAUUCCAUGUGUAGCGGUGAAAUACGUAGAUAUAUGGAGGAACACCAGUGGCGAAGGCGGCUCUCUGGUCUGUAACUGACGCUGAGGCUCGAAAGCGUGGGGAGCAAACAGG
RNAcentral lists this ribosomal RNA (429 nucleotides) under Gemmatimonadota bacterium. RNAcentral describes it as "Gemmatimonadetes bacterium partial 16S ribosomal RNA". It matches the Rfam family "Bacterial small subunit ribosomal RNA", at positions 355 to 776 of the family's 1533-position model. Lineage: Bacteria; Pseudomonadati; Gemmatimonadota. The record is from RNAcentral.